Molecule: ribosomal RNA, 695 nt
Filed under: uncultured bacterium
Lineage: Bacteria
Description: bacterial SSU rRNA
Rfam family: Bacterial small subunit ribosomal RNA
Source: RNAcentral
AGAGUUUGAUCAUGGCUCAGAACGUACGCUGGCGGCACGCCUAAUACAUGCAAGUCGAACGAAGUAGCAAUACUUAGUGGCAGACGGGUGAGUAACAUGUAGGUAUCUACCCUUUGGCCUGGAAUAACACGAGGAAACUUGUGCUAAUACCGGAUAAGUCUUUACGGAGAAAGCUUUAUGCACCAUUGGAUGAGCCUGCACUUGAUUAGUUUGUUGGUGGGGUAAUGGCCUACCAAGACAAUGAUCAAUAGCUGAUUUGAGAGGAUGAUCAGCCACAUUGGGACUGAGACACGGCCCAAACUCCUACGGGAGGCAGCAGUAGGGAAUCUUGCACAAUGGAGGAAACUCUGAUGCAGCGAUGCCGCGUGAGUGAAGAAGGCCUUUGGGUUGUAAAGCUCUUUCGUCGGGGAAGAAAAUGACUGUACCCGAAUAAGAAGGUCCGGCUAACUUCGUGCCAGCAGCCGCGGUAAUACGAAGGGACCUAGCGUAGUUCGGAAUUACUGGGCUUAAAGAGUUCGUAGGUGGUUAAAAAAGUUGGUGGUGAAAUCCCAGAGCUUAACUCUGGAACUGCCAUCAAAACUUUUUAGCUAGAGUAUGAUAGAGGAAAGCAGAAUUUCUAGUGUAGAGGUGAAAUUCGUAGAUAUUAGAAAGAAUACCGAUUGCGAAGGCAGCUUUCUGGAUCAUUACUGACACUG